AGCUUUGGUGCCUCGUCCACUGCCAAAAUCAGUGUAGAUGCUUCGCUUGCAGGAGCCAUUAUUGGGAAGGGUGGUGUAAAUUCGAAGCAGAUUUGUCGCCAGACAGGUGCCAAGCUUUCAAUCCGGGAGCAUGAGUCAGAUCCCAAUCUCAGGAACAUUGAACUAGAGGGGACCUUUGAACAGAUUCAGCAAGCAAGUGCCAUGGUGAGAGAGCUAAUUGUGACUGUUUCAAUGUCUGGCCCUGCAAAAACUCCUGGAGGAGGAGCUCCAGGGGCCCCGGCCCCUCCUGGAAGUAACUAUAAGACAAAGCUAUGCGAUAAUUUUACCAAAGGGACUUGCACCUUCGGAGAUAGAUGUCACUUUGCACACGGGGCUGCUGAAUUGCGGAAGUCUGGGAUGUGAGUGCUCUUUCAGUUUUUGCUUGCAACCUUGUACUAGUGGGAGAGCUGUUUUGAUUUGUCCAUGUGCAAUGCAACUUAGCGGAACUAACAAAAUUAUGAUAAUUUUUGGGCAUUUGGUUUCCUUUGUUUCUAGUGUAGCUUGUAGGCAUAAGUUUACUUUCUGAAUAUAUGUUUUAUAUGCUCGUCAUUUGUUUAUGUGGAAACUAGGGCAGGAUUAUUUGUCCAAAACUGUUGGUAAUUUUGAUGACACUUGCAGAACGUGGGUAGGAUUUUAAGCCUUAUAAUAACUUUUGUGUUUCAAUUGAAGUUCAUUAAGAACUGCAAACUACCUACCAAAGUACGCCGGAUUUGGAUCCUCUGCAAUGAUUUUUUCUGGCAUAAUCUUCUUUAUUUUUGUUAUUCAUACGUCAUCUCAUUAAAAUUUAAUUUAAUGGAUUUACAAGUUGACACAUCAUCCUAAAAUAAAAAUUCAAUUUACUUUUAAUUCAAAAAAGAAAAAAAAAACAUAACACUCAACCAACGAAAUAGUUAAUAUCCAAAGUUUUUUUUUUCUUCUUCUUGCUUCAGUGUCCUCUUCUCUUUUUUGGGUUCUUCCUUGCAUUUUGGGGUUUUUUCCCUCCUCAUGUCUCUCUCCAAAAAUCAAUUUUAUGGAGUAUAAUUGGCCGGAUCCAAUCAUCACCAGACAAAAGCUUUGAGUUUGUUUGAUUGUAAUUACCGACGGCUCAUAAUGAAGGACCGGAUGGAUUUUGAACUUACAGGCCUCAUGCGUUUGGUAUGACCAUGGUUCUUCUCAACUUCAAGUUGUUACUGUAAGAUUAUUAAUUCAAUUCAAUUAUGUUAUCUCAUUAAUUUUUUUGUUCUUGGUGGGUUCUUAUUCCUAAUGGGCCAUAACUCCCUUUUCUUUGGGUCUUUGGUGGGUUAUUCUUCCCAACUUCACGUUUUGGCUUUUUUGUCCAAGAAGAAGAGGCCCUGAUCUUCUUCAUCUGUCCUCCUUACGGCCUCUUGCUCUUCCUGUAAAAUCACAGCCAGAAGGAAUAAGAACCCACCAAGAACCAAUAAAAAGGAAUGAGAUAACAUAAUUGAUUUGAAUUAGUAAUCUUACAGUGACAUGAAGAGAAAAAAAAAAGUCAGAACGUAAGGAAGAAUCCAAAAAAGAGAAGAGGACAGCGACGAGAAAAAAAACAACUUAGAAUGUUAAUUAUCCCGUUAGUGGGGUGUUAGGGUUUUUUUUUCUUUUUUAAUUAGGAAUAAAUUGGGUUUUUAUUUUAGGAUUAUGCGUCAACUUGUAAAUCCAUUAGAUUAAAUUUUAAUGAGGUGGGUAUGAAGAACAAAAGUAAAGUAGAUCAUGGAAGAGAAAAUUAAAGCAGAGGAUCUGAAUCCAAAUAAGCCAAAGAGUGCAACAAAUGCCAAUCCACAAAGUUUAAUUACCAUUGAAUCCCAUUAAAGGCAUGUAAUGCUAGAGUUCCAUCUUAAUACCAAAGGAAAAACUAAGGAGAUGUCAAUCGUCAAACCAAAGGGAAGCAUCUUUUCUCUAUAACCCGCAAUAACAUGAUACAAGCAACCUCCAUUUCCAAGCAGAAACUUGCGAAUGUUGAUGGACCAAAAGCUUUUGCUUUUUUCUUUUUCUUAAUUAGCAGGGAAGAGGGAAUUCGAACUUUGAACCUCUUGCAACUUUGGAAAUAGAGGUAGUUGGUGCUCACUAAACCAAAAGCUAACUGAUAUAUUGACUCUUGAAUGGCUUUUCACCCAAGUAUCAUUAAGGCUUCCAAACCCACCCACCUCUUUGUGGCAGACAAACUUCCUCCCAAGAGACCUUUAGAAGCCUAAUGGUUAGAACAAAUACCAGCCCAUAAGAAAGAACAAAUUCUUUGUUCAAUGUCCAACAACAGUUUCUUGGGCAAGAACAAACAACCUCCUUAGGAGGCUCAAGAUUAUGAUAUUGAACAUCCAACAUCUCAUUCCUUCUUUUGAAUUUUAAGAACAUUUUUAAAGAGAUCAAUUUCACUACAGACUUAAGACACCAAUUGAAUUAUCCACACUUUUAGUCUCACAUUGUUCCAAAUUCAGUCCUCCCUGUUCUCAAAUUUGAUUUGUACGGAGGAGGUUGUCCUCGUGGUUUUGUUUUGUAGUUUUGUUUUUCCUUACUAAAAACAAAAACAAAAACGAACUUGAAGAUUACAUGAAGAUUCCAUAAAACACAUGUUGAUGCCCAAAAUGGAGUUCAACUUAAAUAGAUGUGGAGUGAUGGAUGAUGUGUGAAGACGUGAGCCUUCAGCAUGUGUAUGUGUAGUAGGCAGGUUAUUGUCUUCAGUAGUCAAUGACAUUCAGCGUAAGUAAAGUAAAUAAGCAUGCAGAAGACAAGGUAUACGUGGUUCACCCGAAUGAUUGGUUACGUCCACAGAGAAGGAUGUUCUCAUUAUGAUAAUGUUUGUUUACAUUUGUACAAGGAGAUUAGACCCAAAAAUAAAGGGAAGAAGGCCCAAGGCCUAAGUUAUAAAGCCCAAGAGUCCAAGGCCCAAGGGUCAAGACCUAAGACUCUUUUCUAAGUGGAGUGUGGUCUUUUUUUAUAGGUGAAUGGGAGUCUCCACCUCUUGUAGUCUUCUAAUGUGGGACUCUUGACAUUACCCUUAAUUAUGACUUAUGGCAAGGCUUCUUUGGCUAAGGUGACGACCUCUCAAAGCACAGUACGUGGCUGAUCUUGCUUAGCUAAUUGAUCGGUUAGUCAUGAUAUCGACAACACGUUGAAUAGAUUGUCACUUCCCAGCACAAGAUAAGGAACUUAAGUCAAUAAUUUAUCUAAUUGGUAAGAAUUUUGAUGUUGGAGUUGAAACAACUAGUAAUCUUUAGGUUUGAUAGGGUCACCAACUAGUAAAAAGGAAUAUAAUUAAAAAUAUAAUAUUUUUAAUUAACUUUUUCUCAAAAGAGUGUAAAGCCAAUUUUUAAGAGCAACUACAAUUAUACUCUCUAUUUUUUAAUUAAAAUUUAGGGAAAAUACACAAAAACUAUUUUAAGAGCUCUUUAUAAAAUUUCAACUUCAAUCAUACUUUCUAGUUUAGGGAGUCAUAAUUGCUAUAAUUCUUUUUUAAUUCAACAUAAAUGAUUCAUCUCUAUUUUUUUUUUUUUAAAUGGCAAUAUUAAUUAAAGAUUUAAAAUAGGAAGCUGAUUUUCUCACUCCUCUUUUGUCCACUUAAAUUCCUUUUGUUGGAAAUUGUAUGUUUUCACUCCUACUUUGUCCACUUACACUCCUUUGUAUGUUAGAGUAAAAAAUAUUUAAAAACAAAAUAGAGUGUAAGUGGACAAAAAGAGAGUAGGAAAAUCAUCAGCCUUAAAAUAUUCAUUAAAUAAGGCAAUAUUAAAUUAUAGGAAGUCACUAGUAGUUUAUUCUCUCUUCUCAUAUUUAGGAGCUCCUAGAGGUCUCCUUAUUUUAAAAGCUGGAUAAGAAGCAUGGUUGGAGCUGGAUAGGUGCAUUAAUUAAUUAUUACUGUAUUAAUUUUCAUUAAUGUAAGAAAAAACAAUUACAAUAAUAAAAGAGUGCUGCUAUUUGUACCCUUGUCCUAUUUUAUCAUCCAUUAUUAUGCAUUAGCCCCUGUUCACGCAUGUGCCAAUUGGUUUUAUUUUUUAUUUUUUAUUUUAUUUUUAGAAAUAAGAAAAAAUAACAUGGGUAGUUAUGUUCCAUAAAAGUAGGACCUAUUAUAUGAUUUUAUUUUUAUUUUUAAUUUUUUUAUUAUGAAAAAAAUAUGAAUUUACCAUAUUAUCCUUAUUUAAUUAAUAAUUUCAAUUCUUAUUAUUUGAAUUAACAAAGGACAUUUUCUGGAAUUUUGAAUGUUUCACUAUUUUCUAUCUUUUACUUUAUAUAUAUAGAUAAAAUACCCUUUAAUUAUUAAAAUACUACAACAUUAAUAUUUGUUUAUUACUAACAAUUUUAAUAAAAUAAUUAUUAUAAAAAUAAAACUAAACCAAAUCCAGUAUGCAAAGAUAGUUAUGCAGCUGCUGAAUAAGACUCUCGAGAUGUGACCUUGCGUUGUAGAUGAAUGACUGUAAGCAGCCAGCUUAAUUACUUUCUCUUGAUUAGUGCCCAAAAUUGGUAGGCUAUUCUUGAUCACCCCAACUGUGAAUUCUUUGUGAGAAAGAAUACAUAAUGGAUAAACUGAGACUAAGAUGAUAGAAACCUUUGGAACCUGUAGGGAUGAGUCAAUACCACCUCCCCCAACGCAGCCCCCUCUUUGGCGGCAACACUCUUAAGGCCAAGUGGGUCAUGUUCGAUAAGACCUUACUCUUUCAUCAAUACCUCUAACGUCGGUGAUGAUUACUGUUUCAUCAAUACCUCUAACGUCCGAUAAGACCUUACUCUUUCAUCAAUACCUCUAACAUUGGUGAUGAUUACGACGACGGUUGUCUCUGGUAAGGAGUUGUUGGGGAUUGUGACUAGAGUGUGGAAGGUGGUGGAUGGUUUGGGAAUGGUUGGGAAGAGGGGUCGCAUUGUCUUAAAGGCCUGUUUAGUUCAUGGGAAAUGAGAUUUGAGAAUGGAAAAUCAAUUGCUUUUCUAUGUUUGGUAAGUCUAGAUAUGAGAAUUCGUUGCUGGCUCAUGGGAAAGUACGGGGGAAAGUGAAGUCAUCCUCCCCAACUUGGGUUUUGUUUUUCCUCUUCAUGAAAAAAUUUGGAAAAAUAAGCUAACAUUAAAUACAUAUUUUUUAAGACUAUUUUAUCCCCAUUAAUAAUUUAGAAUUACAAUAUAUCAUUAAAUACAUUCUUUUUUUAUUUGAUUUAAUGUGGGUAUAAUUGAAAAUUUAUACAAACUUUUUUUUCUAUUCCUACUUUAAAAAAAUAUGGUAAAUAAAAUAAAGUGAUAUUUUUCAGUUACUUUUCCAGUAUUACCAAAUGUGAAAAAGGAAUCUUCCAUUCUCAUUCCUUGGAGAAUGUAUUGAAAAAUGAUUUCUCCUCAAAUUCAUUCUAUGAACCAAACAAGUGGGUGUAAGUUUUUAAAAAUCAUUUUACGAAGACAAUUAUAAAGAUUAGAUUUUACAGAGACAAUUUUGUCUCAUAAUACGUCUUUUCUUAAUGUUAAAGAAGAUUUUAAAGAAGAUUUAAGGCGAAUCUUCCCCGAUUUUUUUUAUAAACUUAUAAAUUUAAAAAAAAAAAUCAUUACUAAUUUUCUUAGAACCACAAGCAGUUAAUUCUUUUUGGCACUGAGACACUCUCAAUCUCUCUCAUCUCACAUAUCUAAGCAUCUUCUCAAUUGGCUGGCACUUGGUCCAAAUUUCUGAUUCAAAUUUAUAUAUAAACUUUUACACAAUGCUACCAAUUUUAUUCCAUUAAAACUUGUAAAAUAUCAAAACAAACUUCAACCACUAUGCCUUAAAAGACUUGCCCAAAAAAAAAAAACCCACGUAUUACAUAUUAACCCACCAAAAAAAAUUGGGAUUUAAAAGAUGACCUAACCCGACCCCACAACUAAUGGCCAUAGUACAUAAUCAAAGGCUCCAUUUCAACUGAAGGUCCCACCAGUUCCAUAUCCGGGUGGAUUCCCACCCACACGAGUAUUAUGGGCUGCGGUCCAACCCGUACCUGUGUUGAUCCCGAUAGGGUGCGAUUCCACUACUCCCUCCGUCACCUGGCCCGUGGGCUGCCCGGUACCAUGUCCGGGCAGCGCUGACAUUUGGUGAGCCCCAGUGGGCUGCCCUGUGGCCCCGGUUGGGGAGUAUGUGUGGGUCCCAGUGCCACUUGUUGUGUACCCCGUGGGCCCACCCACGGAUGCCUCGUGUCUAGCCGUGGCGUUGUGUGCCUUCGCCGCACACUUGUUCAGCUCGGCCUCCACCAUUCUCUCCUCCCUCUUUUGGGUUGCCAUGUCCUUUUCAACCGGGUCAUGAGCUGUCAUCUUCUCCACCUUUUUUUUUUUUGGUUGGAAAAACAAAAACAAAUGGUGAAUGAAUAAUAAAUUCAUAAAAUGAAACACAAAAAACAUGAUUAAAAUAAAACACAUGAAAUAAAACCUUUUCUUGCACUGUGGCUUUGGUCUUGUCCAUGCCAGACUUAGCAGAGGCUGCUACAUUAGCAGCCGUUUCUUUCACGGACCCCUUUACGUUCUUCCCAGACUGCAUUUUCAGCUCACUUCCUUUUUCUUUCCUUUUUUUUUUUUUUUUCCAAUCCAAAUAAUUUGUCUCAAACUUUGUUUUUUAGCACACUGUAGCAAGUUAAUAUGGUGCGCUUCAAAUAGGCUCAAAGGACGUGUUGGAGUCGCGACACGUGGAAUAAUAGAGAGUUUAGGUGGGCGCUGGAGAGAACAUCACGAUCCCUGUAUUGACACGAUGCAGACACGUGUCAGAGCGUGCUGACAGUGUUGAUGACGCAGCAGUUGGGAAAGUUUAUAUGGUUGCGACACGAAGAUGAUAAUAAUGACACGUGUCGUUUGCGUGUAUCUGCAAUCACCCGAAAAAAAAACACAUAACACAAAACCAAAAAAAAAAAAAGCAUAUAAAUAGAAUGAAAAUAACUCAAUUGAACCAAGCAUUUAAAGAGAGUUCGUUGUUUCCCGAUAUGCUUGGAUGAUUAGGUUAACAAUUGAAUCAUGAACCUAUCACAAUCGGAACUUAAAUUAGACUAACAAUUGCAUCAUGCACCUAACGCAAUUGAACCAUACAAAACUAAACCCUAUAUUACACUACAAUCAUUAUGAUUUUAACAGAGAGAUUUCAUUCUCACUAAUUUAAACCGAAACUCAAUUCAAUAUAUUUUAAAAAAAUUCCCUAAUUUAAACCGAUACUCACUACCAAAAAAAAAAGAGUGCUACGGUUUUGAAAACCCCAAUUUUAUUUCGAAACAACCCUAAUACAUACUUUUAUUAAGGAAAAAUGGGGAUCAGAUCAAUUUUGUUCUUAAAUUAUUGUUCAGGUUGCUUGAUUAUUUAGUUCAUUUGAAAUAUUUGAGUUAGAUUCGACAAUAUGUUUUAGAAAGUUUUAUACGAAACAUGUUUCAAUAAAGCAAGGAACUUUUAACUUAAUCCGGUAGAUAGCUAAGAUAUAGAUUGGAGAAAAUUAGGUCAGACGGUACUAUUUUACGUGCAUCUUUAAGUAAACAAAUUGACUCUAAAAAGAAAAAGAAUCAUCCUCAACAAACGAGAGAGAGAGAGAGAUAACAACAUGAAAGUAGAUCACCUUAUUGAACUUUGAUAAGAUGUUUGUGUUAAAAGUCAUCUAAGUUUGCUUACCUUGUCUAUUGAACUUUAAUGAGACGUACGUGUUGGUCUCUUGUAUAAAUAGACAGAGAGUUCCAAAGUUAUGAGUUUGUCUAAGCUAGAUGCAAUGCAUCAUGAAAUUUUGUACAAUUUUAUGUAGAUGGUCUACUCUCUUGUAUAAAUACGGAGUUUGGGAUUCUAUGAAAUUCACUAAGAGAAGACAGACAAGUCAUGUCCUAUCAGUUUGAAAAUAAGCCAUGAUUAAGACAAGUCUUACCUGAAUAUUCAAUUCUGGAGAUCUAACAUUGUGGGAAUGAAUAUUCAUAUCAAAUUUGGUCAGCAUUUAAACAUAACUUUGCUUCCUUGAUUCUAAAUAUUUAUAUGAAAUAUAGUCAGCAUUUAAACAUGUGCUUAAUUCUCAACUUAGUUAUAAAAAGUCUCAAGAUUGAAUUAUUAUUCUACUAUAUAAAUUUACAGAAGGGCACUUCGAAUGGAAAUUACCUUUUUUUAUUUAUUUAAAGAUGAGAGGAAAUUUGAUUUUGGGAAAUUGUCAAACAUUUGAAUAAAAUAAAAAAGUGUUGCAAAAAUGUAGCAACACAUGGUAGGCACCACUGAGUUGAUUACCACGAAACAUUUCUCCAACCACUUUUACAACGGAAGAAAAUUUGACGCACAUUUCCUCAAAAUUCAAAUCGACGGUUGAGAGGAGUAAUAGUAACACAAUAGUGAACCGGAGACGGACGGCCAACUCCCGAAACCUACUUUCUUUUAUGACAAAAUUAAUAAAGCCUAAUUAGUCACGAAAUAUGGUUACGUUGUUUAAUUUAUUUGCGUGUUUAUAUUAUAACUUGAUUCACAAAAAAAAGUUUGAUUGAAAAUGAUUUUAGGAAGCAAAGUUAUGUUAGGAAAGUAACCAAAAAAUAUCACUUUAUUGCAUUUCCAUAUUUGGUUUGCGUAGAAAUGUAAAAUAAAGUUGAUUUAAUUUUCCAAUUAUAUCCAUACGAAAUCAAAUUAAAAAAAGAAUGCAUUUAAUGUUAUAUUGUAAUUCUAAAUUGUUAAUGAGGACAAAAUGAUCAUGAAAAAUAUACAUUUAAUACUGACUCAUUUUUCAAAGUUUCACACAAAAAGGGAAAAUGAAACUAAGGAGGAGAUGAGUUACAUUUUUCCCCUAUUCCUUAUGUACAAAACAACCAUUUCUCAUGUCUGGACUUAUCAAAUAUGAGAAAACAAAUGAUUUUCCAUCCUCAAGCCUCAUUUUUCAUGUACCAAACACAGCCUAAAGGGAAUAUCAACCAUUUUGUCUACCCAUAUUAUAACACGUGUACAAGUUAUACCCCGUAACCAUACUCCAAUACCAUUAUAUAAUUUCUCAAAAAAGCUACAACUUUAAAACUUCAAUGAUGGACUUCCCCAUCCAACACAAUGACAUCAUCACCUCAACUUAAGAACAUUUAAGUUUUUUGGUCAAAGAAGAACAUUUAAGUUUAAAAAGUCUUAUUUAUAGACAAUUUAAAUUCAAAAAGGACCAGUGCUACUUGGCGAUGUGACACACCUAGCACCGUGGUUAGAGCAUUCACAAUAGGCUCUCUAAAUCAUCUCAUGAGACAAAUUUUAGGGAGGAAUUCGAAAAAUACAACUCCAACCAUGCUCCCUAUUUACCUUCUAAAAUUGAGAGACUUGUAGGGGCUCCUAAAUCUGAGGAGAGAGAAAAGACUCCUAGUUGCUCCCUAUAAUUUAAUGCUGCUUUAUUUAAAGUGUAUUUCAAACCUUUAAUUAAUGCCAACUAUUUUUUAUAUUAUUUUUAAUAGAGAUGGACCAAUUAAAAAAGAGUUAUAGCAUUUAUGACUCCCUAAACUAGAUAGCAUUAUUGUAUUUUAAAUUUUAUAGAGAACUCCUAAAAUAAAUUUUAUAUGUUUUUAGUUAAAAUUUAACUAAAAAAUAGAGAACAUGAUUGUGGAUGCUUUUAGAGCAUCUCCAACCGAUAUAUCAAAUUGUCACAUGGACAUGAAAUGACAAAAAUUGAAGGCUAAAGUUAGUCCAAUCGAGUAGUCAAAUCUUAUAUAGAUUUGAAGGUUGGAAGAGAUAUGUCAAACAUAACAUAUCAAAAAACUUGAUGUCAAAUAUUAUUUUAAUAUAUUUUUUAGUCAUGUACCCCACUAUCAUUUACUCACUUUAAAAAAUUUAUGCAUCAUAUGGGCCCCAUUUGUUUUUAAAAAUAUAUAAUAAAAUAAUAUGAUAUUUGGCAUUUCGGGUGGAGUUAAAUUUUUUUUCAAAGUGUCAAAUUGCCACAUAAGUCAUCAAAUUCAAAUUUAACAUUUGACAUCUCCCUUUGAAAUGAUUUUAGAGGCCAUCACAGCACAUCGUGUGUCAAAUAAGUAACACGUCUUUCUAAUUUUUUAUUAUUUAUUAAAUCAUUGAAGAUAAAGAGAUUUUAUGACGUCAAAUUUGGAGGAUGUGACAUGAAAGUGUAAAUAAUUAUAAAAAAAGAAAAAGAAAUGCAAAUGUCAAAAAAAUAAUAAUAUAAACGAUUUAUUUUCAAUCGAGAUAGUUCCGGAACUAGGUCAAACAAUCUACUAAAUACACCGAAUAAAAUUAGUUGCGAUAUGAUUUUGUUUGAUUCAAAAUAACCCUUUAUUAGAUCAAGUGGCCGUUAAUGGGGUUUAAGGGUUCGUUUGAGAGUGAUUCUAUAUAGACAAGAAUCACUUCUGAGAAGAAGUACUUCCCCAUGUGCUUCUUCAAAUAAUCAUUUUUAGUUAUUUUAAGCGAUUAUAGAGAAGUGAUUCUAGGUUCGAAUUUGCACAACAUCAUGAUAGUGUGUGUGAAGACACCAUUUCCUAUAGUUUAUAUUGUUGCUUAUACUAAAAAAGGGUGAUGAUUUUCUCACUUACAUUCCCUUCUGUUUAAAAAAAAUAAUAUUUACUAUAACAAAAAAAUAGUGUAAGUAGACAAAAGAGAAGUGGGAACAUCUCCCAAAAAACAUUAUCAAAUAAAAUGGCUCAAAUUUGAUCAUAACCCUAUUUUUGGUUGGGUUAUUUUUCUUGACCUUUUAUUAUUAUUAUUCUAGCCUCUUGGCACAUGCUCAUGUAUGUGUCAAUUAGUUUUUUUUUAAAAUUUUUAAAAUUAAGAAAAGAUAAUAUAGGUAGUUAAGUUCCAUAAAAAUAGGACUUAUUAUUUAAUUUUGUUUUUAAUUUUAAAAUUUUUAAUUAAAAAAAUGUAAAUUUAUUAUAUUAUUCUUAUUUAAUUAAUAAUUUUAAUUAUUAAUGUUUGAAUUUCGUUGGCAUGUAAAUUUAAAGCUUAUGUUUUUAUGUGUAGGUGUUGAGUGCUGGUACUGGCCACCCGCAUAUAAGCGGCAAUUGCCUAUCGCGCCAUAAUUUCCACAAUCGUCACCCUAAUGCAGCCCAUAAUUACGAAAAACCUCAAAUCCCAACACGUCGUUUCACGAACUCAGCAGGGGCCACUCUCGUCAUUACAAAAAAUUCAACAGCACCAGGAGGGCCAACCCACACUGACACUGACACAUACACGUGAUAGCACAGAGAUAUUUUUUUAUUUUUUUAUUUUUUUUGUUACAAGAUAUUUAUUUUUUUCACUUUCUCUUACAUGGGUAGGCACGUCCCAUCCCCGACGUCGAAAGUGCGUGGGAAAAUAGACGGUCAGUAUCGAAUGUAAAAUCAGUUAAAAGCCUGAGGCAGAGCAUCGAUCGUGUCACGCAAAGCAAGCAAAAGUUACCGAGGAGAUCGAAUCAGCUGUGGCCACGUCAUCAGAUAUACAAAGUCCGAAGAAAUCCGUGGCCCCGUCUCGUAACCCGUGGGUCCCACAGAUAUGGCAAAGCGGGAGGGAAGCCAAAGCUUAAAUAGUCGUGGCCUCAGGCCCUCCUGGACACUUCAAAAGGGCCGGCGCUUCCUCCUUAUACAACAGGCCACCGAGCCCAAGAGCGAGAGAGAGAGAGCGUGGAGAGAGAAGAGCUUCUUGUUCAGGUACUCUCUCUCUAGUUUUUUUUAUUCAUUUUGCUUCUGGUUGAUUGUUUCUGUUUGGUUUGGCUUGUCAAAUUCGGAGUUUUCUACUUGCAUUUCGCUGUUUUUGAUUGAAUGUGAUUUCAUUUUGUAUGUUUGAGCUCCAUUUCCUGCUUCAAUGGCGUAAUCUGGAUUAGAUCUAGGCGUUAAUGGUUUUCUAUGGAGAUUCAGAUCUUCGUGUUCGUUUGCGACUGCAACUCCAAUUUUAUUUCCCUUUUUCUUUUAAACGCCUACGAUUUUGAGCUAGAUUAUUAUAAUGCUACUAAUAUGAUUUUUUAAGCUCGUUCAUUCUCUAUGGAGAUUCAGAUCUUCCUGUUCGUUUGCAACUCCAUCUCCUUUUAUUUUUCCUUCUCUUUUUCAACGGCUACGAUUUUGAGCUGUAUUAUUAGAUGCAACUGGUAUUCUUCUUUUAUAUAAUAUACAUAUAUAUAUUUCUAUAUAUUUCUAUUUUUAUGGUUGAUUUAAAAGAAUUGAGCAUUUCGAAGUCCGAUCUGACUCAUAUGAGCGUAACAGUCUGGAUUUUUUGUCGCGUUAUUUGCCUUGGUCCUUUCACACAUGAUAUCUGUCGUCAUCUCUCACACCUUAUUUUCAAGUAUUAAAUUAUUUUUCAUCAUUUUUACGGUUAAUAUUAUAAUUUAAUAUUAGUUAAUAUGGAUUCCGGUUUUUUCUGUUUGAGAAAAAUAAUAGUCCGUUUUUAUGCGGUCCCCCCCAUCACGCCCGAAUUUUCUGACCAUUCGUCUUCGUUCUCGUUUUUCCUUCUUGGCUCCUUACGUUUAAAUGCCGCGUUUUAUUGGGGCGGUUGCAAGUGCGUCCUGACUAUUUUGCACAUAUUCGUGAUAACUUUUUCUCGGCUGAUAAUUUUGUAACUUUGCGAAGCUUUGGCUAGGUUUGUUUUGAGAAUUUGAAAUUCCAACGAGAAAUUCAUUGUAGCUCCGUAACAGUGUUUUAAGAAUAUUCAAAGAACGAUAUUAUGAUUGGAAUUUCAAUUUUGGUUGGCAAGUUGGCAACAAAUUAAAUUUGAUAUUUUUUGGGCCAUGGGCAAGUUGGAAAUGUUCGGCACAUUAGGAAAAUAAUCUGGUCAAAAUCAAAGCUUUAUCGUCAAGUCCAUCAUGCGUAGAGGAAAAUGAGUUUUGUUUGUCAUUUAUUAAUAUUUAAUUAACCUUGACCGAAUGGUUGACCUGAUCCUGAUAUUGGGAGAGCCAAACAAUUUCUCUUCCGCAGGUGCUGUAGUAACGUUGAACCUGUAUAAAAUAUGCUUAUUUUUACUUUCUUUAUUCAAGUUUGAGAGGCGUAAGGGAUACCUUCACGUGACACGCCUCAAUUCCUUGUCUGUUUAGAUUCAUUGAGGAUUGAGAAGUCUGCCCAUCAUAUGUUUAUAUUCAUUUUUUCAAUUUCUUCUAGUUUGGUGCGUUGCAACUUGCAACUAGCAUGAGGGCUUGUUUCUUUAUUGCCUAUGUGGGGUAGCAGUCGGCACAUAAUUAAAGUUGUGGUGGGUCCUAAGGAAUAUCAAAUAAAACCAAGAAAACUCUAUUUAUUCAAAUCACCUUUUUUCGCAAGACUUUGUUGUUGGUACUUUUUACGUCUAAUUUAAGGGUCAGUCCCCACCAAUUGUAUUCAAGUUUGAGUUACCCGUCUAUUAUUAACACAAAAAAACACUAAUUUCAAUUUUUAUUCCUUAAAAUUGUGGCAUGCAUUAAACAUCCUCUAGGUUUAUAUGUGCUUGUUCUACUUGAUUUGAAAUUCUGGUGUGACUUAUUGUAUAUAAAGACUUGAGUUGGGUUUGUAGUCAAAUUGUCCGUUAUGCAUAGUGGAUCUAAUUAGAGCAUUUAUUAGGAGUCCUUUCUCUCUCUUCAGAUUUAGGAGCUCCUAGAGGUCUCCCUAUUUUAGGAGGUGGAUAGAGAGCAUAGUUGGAGUUGCAUUUUUCCAAAUGCUCCCUAAAAUUUGUCUAAGGAGGUGAUUUAGAGAGCCUAUUGUGAAUGCUCUUAGUGACACAAACUCCUAGUUUAUAUUUGAGUGAUUAGUCUUUGCCAUCUCUGUCUCAGCUGUUAAAAAUAAUAUGUAACAAAACCAGGGAAGCUUGUCGGUACGUUUACACUGGUUAAUAGUAGCGGCAAUAACUUAGAUCAAAUUGGUUGUGUGAUGUAAAGAGCUCCUCUACUUGUAUGUUGGAUUCUUUUGGAUAUUCCACUUGCCUUUCUGGUUGGUUUUGGUCCGUUUACUUUGGCACUUUGUUUCUGAGUGGUCGUCGUGUGAGGCUUGAACCUCCAAAUAUCUCAAUCGGUUGGUGUAUUUUUAAUUCAACGUUUGCGGUGUUUCAUUUUUUUGGUGCUCUUCGAUUCAGCCAAUGAGGAAACCCGCCUAGCCGUAGUCACUCUCGAGGUCUACAGGGAGGAAUAUGUGAGAGAUCCGAGGAAUAAAAUUAUUUAUAAUUGUUUCAUGUCUUUUACCUUUAUCCUUACUAAUAUCUCCUUUUCGUUUCUUGGUGUUGAUAUCCUAUAAACUAGUAUAUAACUAUUGAAAUCCUGUUGUGGCACUACAAUUGAAUUAUUCUGUUUUGGUGGUGCAUUAUGGACUAACCUCCUUUUGACAAUUACAUUAUACUCAAGAGAUUCGUUCUUCUUUCUUUGCAGAUUUAGGAGCAAUGGGUGCCGGUGGAAGAAUGUCCGCACCCCCUACCCGUAAGAACGCUGAAACCGACAACCCCAAGCGAGUGCCAUACUCAAAACCUCCAUUCAGUCUCGGCCAGAUCAAGAAAGCCAUCCCACCUCAUUGCUUUCAGCGCUCUGUUAUCCGCUCCUUCUCCUAUGUCUUUUAUGACCUUACCAUUGCCUUUCUCCUGUACUACAUUGCUUGCAAUUACAUCCAGCCUCUCUCUCAACCUUUCUCUUUCUUGGCGUGGCCAGUUUACUGGUAUGUUCAGGGCUGUGUCCUGACUGGUGUUUGGGUGAUAGCGCAUGAGUGUGGUCACCAUGCUUUUAGUGAUUAUCAAUGGCUGGAUGACACAGUCGGUCUAAUCCUCCACUCUGCCCUCCUUGUGCCUUACUUUUCUUGGAAGUAUAGCCAUCGCCGUCACCACUCUAACACAGGUUCCAUUGAGCGAGAUGAGGUCUUUGUCCCCAAGCAGAAGUCUGCUAUUGGAUGGUACUCCAAAUAUCUAAACAACCCACCGGGCAGGUUCCUUACACUCACCAUCCAACUCACUCUAGGCUGGCCUCUGUAUCUGGCUUUCAAUGUUUCAGGGAGGCACUAUGAAGGCUUUGCUUGCCACUACCAUCCAUAUGGCCCCAUCUUCUCCGAUCGUGAACGAUUGCAGAUUUUCCUUUCUGAUGCCGGUGUUCUUGCAGUCGUAUAUGGGCUAUACCGUCUAGCUGUGGCGAAAGGGCUUGCUUGGGUUGUAUGCUAUUAUGGAGGACCUUUGAUGGUGGUGAAUGGAUUUUUGGUGCUGAUCACAUACUUGCAGCACACACACCCUUCAUUGCCACACUACGAUUCCUCAGAAUGGGACUGGUUGAGAGGAGCUUUGGCAACAGUUGACAGAGAUUACGGCAUCCUGAACAAGGUUUUCCAUAACAUCACAGACACUCAUGUUGCUCACCAUUUGUUCUCAACCAUGCCACAUUACCAUGCAAUGGAGGCCACCAAAGCUAUCAAGCCGAUUUUGGGCGAUUACUAUCAGUUGGACAGGACGCCGGUUUUCAAGGCAAUGUUCAGGGAGGCAAAGGAGUGUAUUUAUGUUGAGCGAGAUGAGGGUGACAAGAAAGGUGUCUUCUGGUACAAUAAUAAGUUAUAAAUGUGAUUAUCAAAAUUGCCCGAAUGAGUGUAGGGGGAGUUUUAAGUUCUUGUAAUGGAUCCGAGCUUCCCCUUUCACUCAUGAAUUAGGUUUCUUUCGUCGCUUGGGACUCUACUUUAAUAUGACUAGUUGUGCUAUUUCAAUAAUUUUCUCACCCCUAUUUAUUGUAGAAUGCAAGAAUGUUCUGUGCUACGUUCCUUUCUUUCCCCUCCAAUGAAUGUGCUUAAUUUCCUAAGCAAAAAGCUUCCAAAGGCCUAAUGAAAAAUGGAACGUGCUAAACCAAUUCUGAAUAUUUUCAUUUUCAUUUUCAUUUUUGCGGUUGAGAAAGACUCAAGAGAGUCGUUUUAACUUGGAACUCAAUUUCUGUGGCACAAUGAAUCCCUGAACGAGAGGGAGGCAGGCUAAAUGAAAUGAUAACACAUGGGCUUUGCUCAGCCACAGGACAAUACUGAUCCAUUCCAUCUGUCUUUGCUGCUUCAUUUAUAUUUGGCACUCUCACCCACUCUAUCUUCAACCCGUUUUUGAGGGAUGUGGAAGAAUAAAAUCCAAGGGCUCCUUUGGUGAGCUAGAUUAUAUGGUUGGAUAGAACUAAUAAUCCUAGUCAAGUGUUUGGUGGUCUAAAAAUAACUUGGAAUGGAUUAUGUCUACUGGAGCCUAAAUGUAGUAGAAUUAUGAAUCCCACCAAAAUGGGAUUGGAUUAUGUCUAUAAUCAUGCUAGACUAUAUAAUACAUUAUUGGAUUAGUAUUAUCCUUUCCGAUCAAAUGUAAUCCAAUCCAAUUUCAAUCGGGAAACAUGACCCCAAAUGUCCAAACAUGAGUGUAAAUUGCAAUAUAGCCCGUGGUGAGUUCGGAAUUUGGAAGAAUAUUACUCUUCAUUUUAUUUCAUCAGAAAGAAAAAUAAAAUUGAAUUAAAUGAGUGAGUUGUAAAGAAGGAUACAGUAAAUGAGUUAAGGAUUUCUCGACGAAGUGUUCGAUUUACUCCAUGUAACAAAAGUAAAAGGUAAAUGUGAGUUUGGCCAGUUAGUCAAGACAAAACAAAACAAAAAUUUAAAUAUCGACCAAAAUAUAUAUAUAUAUAUGUUUACUGGAGUAGCCCAAUCGAUGUAUCUAGUAUAAACUUCAGCCCAGGCUUAAUUACACUGGCCCAAUAUGCUCAUCUAUUAUUCCAGGCCCUGUUAUCAUAAGAGGCUUCAGCGAAAAAAUAAAUUAGAAAUCUGCAAUCCAGUUUACAACCCUACCACAGAAGCCCAUUAUGUUGUUACAUAAUCCUUUUAACCACACCAAUAUAUAUAAUGAAUUGGAUUAUUAUUAUUUUAAUAAUGUUGUAAAUUACGAACUUGAAAGGUAUGAAUUUCUUAAUGGGAAUGGAUUAUCUGAAUCCUGAUUACUAUGUAUGACUAAAUCAAAGUUUACAAUCAAUGUCAGCAUCCUCAAUCCUGGGUUUCAUAACAUCAAGGGGAAAUUGACAUCAAAUCACGACCAUUUCAAAAUCCUGUCGACGUUCGAUGGUUAUUAUUUCUUAAUUAAACCAUAUUAAGUUGGUAUUAUUUUCCAUCAGUCAACGGUAAAUGCAUACUUACAUGUUUCCAUGGCCAAUAGAAUGACUUGCCAUAAGAACAGAAAAUCAGAUUUAUAAGUAACCUUGAAUAUCUACAAGUCAAAAGAUUUCUUAGGCAAACAUUUGGGUUACUUGAUUUGUACUUCAAAAAGAAAAGCAAGACAAUGAGAAGUGAAAUCUCUGGACCACAAAUCAACCAUG
RNAcentral lists this long non-coding RNA (17134 nucleotides) under Prunus persica (peach). RNAcentral describes it as "long non-coding RNA (PPER_LNC007295)". Lineage: Eukaryota; Viridiplantae; Streptophyta; Magnoliopsida; Rosales; Rosaceae. The record is from RNAcentral.